Molecule: small nuclear RNA, 29 nt
Filed under: Arabidopsis thaliana (thale cress)
Lineage: Eukaryota; Viridiplantae; Streptophyta; Magnoliopsida; Brassicales; Brassicaceae
Description: snRNA_18215
Source: RNAcentral
AUCACAAACAUGGCCUCGUUUGUUGUCUU